RNAcentral lists this ribosomal RNA (162 nucleotides) under uncultured bacterium. Its description in RNAcentral is "partial 16S ribosomal RNA". It matches the Rfam family "Bacterial small subunit ribosomal RNA", at positions 305 to 504 of the family's 1533-position model. The record is from RNAcentral.
CCGCGGUAAAACCGGUUACUCCUACGGGAGGCAGCAGUGGGGAAUUUUGCGCAAUGGGGGAAACCCUGACGCAGCAACGCCGCGUGGAGGAUGAAGUCCCUUGGGACGUAAACUCCUUUCGAUCGGGACGCGGUACCGGAAGAAGAAGCCCCGGCUAACUUC